Molecule: non-coding RNA, 110 nt
Organism: Glycine soja
Lineage: Eukaryota; Viridiplantae; Streptophyta; Magnoliopsida; Fabales; Fabaceae
Source: Rfam
UUUUUAUUGGAUGUUGAUCGUCACGGGUCGUGCUUUUAUUGGAGAUUGACCUUAAUUAGGUGCACAAAAUUAACGUUCAAUAAAAACGCAACAUGUGAUGAUCAACAUCC